Molecule: non-coding RNA, 606 nt
Organism: Arachis ipaensis
Lineage: Eukaryota; Viridiplantae; Streptophyta; Magnoliopsida; Fabales; Fabaceae
Source: RefSeq, a predicted model, not a curated record
CCAAUACCUCGAACCCCAUUUCCCUCGCAACAAUACACCUUUGGCACUUCACUAAUUGUUACUAGAACCAUUAUUCCAUACUCCAUAGUGUGCAAUUCAAUUUUAACACGAAACAAAAAUGGCGGAUGAAGGCACAGGCACGGCCACAUGCAUUGACAUCCUCCUUGCCAUCAUUCUUCCUCCACUUGGAGUCUUCCUCAAGUUUGGUUGCAAGGCGGAGUUCUGGAUCUGUUUGUUGCUGACUAUUUUGGGUUAUUUACCUGGAAUUAUCUAUGCUGUCUAUGCUAUCACCAAAAAGAAUAAGUGAUCACCACCAUGCUUUGGUGGGCCUAGGACAUGCUGUCGUGUCUUUUCUUCCUUUACAACAGUUUCAUAUUUAGUGGGAAAAAUAUAUAUUGAUUUUCCCCAUUUAGUGUUUCAUACUUUCAUUGUAAUUCCAUUUUCUUAUGUUUUUGAUGUUCCUCUGUUAUUAGUACGUGUGAGUGGAGUGUGCAGCUUUUAGUUUAUAGAUUUUGUACCAUAUGUAAUCAAGAAUUGAAAUACAGGACUUGUACAUGUAUUCUGUAAUAAUAGCUUGAUUUAUUCUUAUAGCUAUAUUCUUAUUUA